This 336-nucleotide long non-coding RNA is filed under the name Bos taurus (domestic cattle). RNAcentral's name for it is "long non-coding RNA NONBTAT010702". The record is from RNAcentral. Lineage: Eukaryota; Metazoa; Chordata; Mammalia; Artiodactyla; Bovidae.
AUUUUGGAGUACCUAUAUAUUUGAGUGGUGACAAAAGCCACCCACUGCCAGUCACAUUACUUAAUUGGCUAACUUUAUUAAAGGGAACUAUUUAACUUAAUACUUAAAAGAGUUUUUUUGUGAUUAGAAUUUUCUUCAUGAAAUUGUUACUAGUUCUGUUAUUGCAGUAUUUUUUGUCUAUAUGACAAAUCUGACAAACAGGUAUAUUAAGACAUAUAUUUUAUUCAUAUUUCCAAAUAACUGAACAAAAUCAUUUUCUAAAAGAUACUGAUCUUUGAAAUAUUUCUGACUGUGAAUUUCUUCUCUGCGCUAGCUCUUUCUUGUAUAAUGCUGGAG